This 962-nucleotide ribosomal RNA is filed under the name uncultured bacterium. RNAcentral describes it as "bacterial SSU rRNA". It matches the Rfam family "Bacterial small subunit ribosomal RNA", at positions 544 to 1502 of the family's 1533-position model. The record is from RNAcentral.
UCCGGAAUUACUGGGCGUAAAGCGCGCGCAGGCGGUCCUUUAAGUCUGAUGUGAAAUUCCGCGGCUCAACCGCGGGUGUGCAUUGGAAACUGGGGGACUUGAGUGCGGAAGAGGGGAGCGGAAUUCCCGGUGUAGCGGUGAAAUGCGUAUAGAUCGGGAGGAACACCAGUGGCGAAGGCGGCUCUCUGGUCCGCAACUGACGCUGAGGCGCGAAAGCGUGGGGAGCGAACAGGAUUAGAUACCCUGGUAGUCCACGCCGUAAACGAUGAGUGCUAAGUGUUAGAGGGGAUUGACCCUUUAGUGCUGCAGCUAACGCAUUAAGCACUCCGCCUGGGGAGUACGGCCGCAAGGCUGAAACUCAAAGGAAUUGACGGGGGCCCGCACAAGCGGUUGGAGCAUGUGGUUUAAUUCGAUGCAACGAAGAACCUUACCAGGUCUUGACAUCCCGCUGACCGGGUCUGGAGACAGGCCUUUCCCUUAUGGGACAGCGGUGACAGGUGGUGCAUGGUUGUCGUCAGCUCGUGUCGUAAGAUGUUGGGUUAAUUCCCGCAACGAGCGCAACCCCUGUCCUUAGUUGCCCGCAUUGAGUUGGGCACUCUAAGGAGACUGCCGGCUAGAAGUCGGAGGAAGGUGGGGAUGACGUCAAAUCAUCAUGCCCGUUAUGACCUGGGCUACACACGUGCUACAAUGGGCGGUACAAAGGGCAGCGAACCCGCGAGGGGGAGCGAAUCCCAAAAAGCCGCUCUCAGUUCGGAUUGCACGCUGCAACUCGCCUGCAUGAAGGCGGAAUCGCUAGUAAUCGCGGAUCAGCAUGCCGCGGUGAAUACGUUCUCGGGCCUUGUACACACCGCCCGUCACACCACGAGAGUCUGCAACACCCGAAGUCGGUGAGGUAACCCGAAAGGGAGCCAGCCGCCGAAGGUGGGGCAGAUGAUUGGGGUGAAGUCGUAACAGGGUAGCCA